This 585-nucleotide ribosomal RNA is filed under the name uncultured Pseudomonas sp. Its description in RNAcentral is "bacterial SSU rRNA". It matches the Rfam family "Bacterial small subunit ribosomal RNA", at positions 102 to 683 of the family's 1533-position model. Lineage: Bacteria; Pseudomonadati; Pseudomonadota; Gammaproteobacteria; Pseudomonadales; Pseudomonadaceae. The record is from RNAcentral.
ACGGGUGAGUAAUGCCUAGGAAUCUGCCUGGUAGUGGGGGAUAACGUUCGGAAACGGACGCUAAUACCGCAUACGUCCUACGGGAGAAAGCAGGGGACCUUCGGGCCUUGCGCUAUCAGAUGAGCCUAGGUCGGAUUAGCUAGUUGGUGAGGUAAUGGCUCACCAAGGCGACGAUCCGUAACUGGUCUGAGAGGAUGAUCAGUCACACUGGAACUGAGACACGGUCCAGACUCCUACGGGAGGCAGCAGUGGGGAAUAUUGGACAAUGGGCGAAAGCCUGAUCCAGCCAUGCCGCGUGUGUGAAGAAGGUCCUCGGAUUGUAAAGCACUUUAAGUUGGGAGGAAGGGCAUUAACCUAAUACGUUAGUGUUUUGACGUUACCGACAGAAUAAGCACCGGCUAACUCUGUGCCAGCAGCCGCGGUAAUACAGAGGGUGCAAGCGUUAAUCGGAAUUACUGGGCGUAAAGCGCGCGUAGGUGGUUUGUUAAGUUGGAUGUGAAAUCCCCGGGCUCAACCUGGGAACUGCAUUCAAAACUGACUGACUAGAGUAUGGUAGAGGGUGGUGGAAUUUCCUGUGUAGCGGUG